RNAcentral lists this long non-coding RNA (408 nucleotides) under Felis catus (domestic cat). Its description in RNAcentral is "lncRNA (ENSFCAG00000051626.1)". Lineage: Eukaryota; Metazoa; Chordata; Mammalia; Carnivora; Felidae. The record is from RNAcentral.
ACUUUUCCAACUCGGAUCCCGAAGGUCAGUUUCAUCCCAAAGAGGACAGCUUUCCACUUUACCGCCAAUCAAGUUCUUCUUAGAGAAGGAGGCAAAGACAGCUGUCCUCGAUGCUGGGUAUCAGAAGACAUUGAGAGAUCUAGUGGUUUCUUGACUCAUGGACAUUUUCUGGUGGCCCAUGUCCCAGAACCAGAGCCUACGAGGAAGAUCAGGUGUUGCUCUUUAUACAAAGUGCAGAAAUAAACCCAUGCUUUUAUGGUGAAUUAAUCUAUAACAAAUGAGGUGAGACUAUGCGACUGGGAAAAGACAGUCUCUUCAACAAAUACUGUGGGAAAACAAGACGACUACAUGCAAAAGAAUGAAAUCGGACCACUUUCUUACACCAUACACAAAAAUGAAGUCAAAAUG